Molecule: ribosomal RNA, 505 nt
Filed under: uncultured bacterium
Lineage: Bacteria
Description: partial 16S ribosomal RNA
Rfam family: Bacterial small subunit ribosomal RNA
Source: RNAcentral
GACGAACGCUGGCGGCGUGCCUAAUACAUGCAAGUAGAACGCACAGUUUAUACCGUAGCUUGCUACACCAUACACUGUGAGUUGCGAACGGGUGAGUAACGCGUAGGUAACCUGCCUGGUAGCGGGGGAUAACUAUUGGAAACGAUAGCUAAUACCGCAUAAUAUUGAUUAUUGCAUGAUAAUUGAUUGAAAGAUGCUAUUGCAUCACUACCAGAUGGACCUGCGUUGUAUUAGCUAGUAGGGGAGGUAACGGCUCACCUAGGCGACGAUACAUAGCCGACCUGGGAGGGUGGUCGGCCCCCCUGGGACUGAGACACGGCCCAGACUUCUACGGGAGGGAGCAGGAGGGGAAUCUCCGGAAUGGACGAAAGGCUGAACGAGCAAAGCCGGGUGAGGGGAGAAGGGUUUCGGAUCGUAAAGCUCUGUUGUAAGGGAAGAAACGGUGGUGGAGUGGAAAGUUCACGCUGUGACGGUAUCUUAUCAGAAAGGGACGGCUAACUACGUG